Molecule: ribosomal RNA, 207 nt
Filed under: uncultured bacterium
Lineage: Bacteria
Description: partial 16S ribosomal RNA
Rfam family: Bacterial small subunit ribosomal RNA
Source: RNAcentral
CGUGUAGGCUGUUGUGUGUGUCAGGUGUGAAAUCCCUCGGCUCAACCGAGGAACUGCACUUGAAACUGCGCAACUUGAAUCCGGUAGAGGGAGGCGGAAUUCCUGGUGUAGAGGUGAAAUUCGUAGAUAUCAGGAGGAACAUCGGAGGCGAAGGCGGCCUCCUGGGCCGGUAUUGACGCUGAGGCGCGAAAGCGUGGGGAGCAAACA